RNAcentral lists this ribosomal RNA (484 nucleotides) under uncultured bacterium. RNAcentral describes it as "bacterial SSU rRNA". It matches the Rfam family "Bacterial small subunit ribosomal RNA", at positions 39 to 518 of the family's 1533-position model. The record is from RNAcentral.
GCGACAGGCCUAACACAUGCAAGUCGAGGGGCAGCACAAGGAGCAAUCUGAGGUGGCGACCGGCGCACGGGUGAGUAACACGUAUGCAACCUGCCUGUAAGCGGGGAAUAACCCGUUGAAAGACGGACUAAUACCGCAUAAUACUAAAUUACUGCAUGGUAGUUAUUUAAACAUUUAUGGCUUACAGAUGGGCAUGCGCAUGAUUAGCUAGUUGGAGAGGUAACGGCUCCCCAAGGCAACGAUCAUUAGGGGUCUGAGAGGAAGGUCCCCCACACUGGUACUGAGACACGGACCAGACUCCUACGGGAGGCAGCAGUGAGGAAUAUUGGUCAAUGGACGAGAGUCUGAACCAGCCAAGUCGCGUGCAGGAAGAAUGUUCCCUAUGGAUUGUAAACUGCUUUUGCAGGGGAAUAAAGUGCAUCACGUGUGAUGUUUUGUAUGUACUCUGCGAAUAAGGAUCGGCUAACUCCGUGCCAGCCGCUGC